This is a non-coding RNA of Arachis ipaensis, 934 nucleotides long. Lineage: Eukaryota; Viridiplantae; Streptophyta; Magnoliopsida; Fabales; Fabaceae. The record is from RefSeq and is a predicted model, not a curated record.
GAGGUACUUCUAUUCACACUGCAGGAGGCACCACCUUUCCAGAAGCGAGAUUACGCUUGAAUCAUUCUCUUGGAAGACCAUCACGUAUGGAUGAGUUUUUUGAGCACACUCAUACUCGCAAAGAGGAUAGGACUCAAUGGGUUGAUGAACACUCCCGAAAGACAAAGGAUAUAUUUCAAGAGCGUAUGCUUCAGGCUGAGCAAGAGUGGCAGGCUGCUAUAGAGGCUGGUGUAACUGAUCCACCGCCUGUCUCUGAGGAAAGCAUAUGGAUUGAGACAGUGGGUGGAAAAUGAAGAGGUAGGGUAUAUGGUAUGGGUGAGGUAAGGGACUCUUCCAUGGUGCGGCCUCGAGUUGAUGGACCAACCACGACCACCAGUGCUGAUGUUUUGGAUCUUAGAGAACGAAUCAUAAUACUCAAUAGGGAAGUUGAACAACAUGCCGCUAAAUAUAGAGAGCUUGAAGACCGCUACCAAAGGGAGAAAAGAGAGUGGCAACAGACAGUUGAAUCCUUGCGUGAGGAUCUCAACACCAGUAACUCAUAGAUGGAUCAGUUUAGUCAUCAAUUGAGCAGCUUGACUGAGUAUGUGAGAGCCAUGGGUCCUAGUAGUUCUGGAUCACGUGUUCCCCCACCUCCUCCUUUUACUUUUUCAAGCUCUCAGAAAAGCACAGCUCCAGUCCCAGUCCCAACCCCAGCUUCAGGUAGAAAACUCCCACCUAUUCUGCAGCGACCAGGACAACCAUAGAGUUCUCAAAGGGAGGAUGAUUCUGACGAUUUUGAUGACUCGGAUGAUUAUUUAGACGAGUAUGAGUAGGUUAUUUAAUUACUUUACUUGGUAUAUUUUGUAUUAUUAGUAGAUUGCAAUUUAAACGAAUAUAAGUCUAAAUUUAGUUAUUUAUCUUGUCUUGAGUCUUUAUGUUAGAAGAUUAUUUAUUA